GAUGAACGCUGGCGGCGUGCCUAAUACAUGCAAGUCGAGCGAACAGACGAGGAGCUUGCUCCUCUGACGUUAGCGGCGGACGGGUGAGUAACACGUGGAUAACCUACCUAUAAGACUGGGAUAACUUCGGGAAACCGGAGCUAAUACCGGAUAAUAUAUUGAACCGCAUGGUUCAAUAGUGAAAGACGGUUUUGCUGUCACUUAUAGAUGGAUCCGCGCCGCAUUAGCUAGUUGGUAAGGUAACGGCUUACCAAGGCGACGAUGCGUAGCCGACCUGAGAGGGUGAUCGGCCACACGGGAACUGAGACACGGUCCAGACUCCUACGGGAGGCAGCAGUAGGGAAUCUUCCGCAAUGGGCGAAAGCCUGACGGAGCAACGCCGCGUGAGUGAUGAAGGUCUUCGGAUCGUAAAACUCUGUUAUUAGGGAAGACCAAAUGUGUAAGUAACUAUGCACGUCUUGACGGUACCUAAUCAGAAAGCCACCGCUAACUACGUG
Molecule: ribosomal RNA, 497 nt
Filed under: uncultured bacterium
Lineage: Bacteria
Description: partial 16S ribosomal RNA
Rfam family: Bacterial small subunit ribosomal RNA
Source: RNAcentral